This 465-nucleotide ribosomal RNA is filed under the name uncultured bacterium. RNAcentral describes it as "bacterial SSU rRNA". It matches the Rfam family "Bacterial small subunit ribosomal RNA", at positions 338 to 795 of the family's 1533-position model. The record is from RNAcentral.
CCUACGGGCUGCACCAGUGGGGAAUAUUGCACAAUGGGCGCAAGCCUGAUGCAGCCAUGCCGCGUGUAUGAAGAAGGCCUUCGGGUUGUAAAGUACUUUCAGCGGGGAGGAAGGUGUUGUGGUUAAUAACCGCAGCAAUUGAGGUUACCCGCAGAAGAAGCACCGGCUAACUCCGUGCCAGCAGCCGCAGUAAUACGGAGGGUGCAAGCGUUAAUCGGAAUUACUGGGCGUAAAGCGCACGCAGGCGGUCUGUCAAGUCGGAUGUGAAAUCCCCGGGCUCAACCUGGGAACUGCAUUCGAAACUGGCAGGCUAGAGUCUUGUAGAGGGGGGUAGAAUUCCAGGUGUAGCGGUGAAAUGCGUAGAGAUUCGGCGGAAUACCGGUGGCGAAGGCGGCCCCCUGGACAAAGACUGACGCUCAGGUGCGAAAGCGUGGGGAGCAAACAGGAUUAGAUACCCCAGUAGUC